ACGGGGUUAUUUCAGUCCGGUAGAAUACGUGCCUUGGACGCACGUGACGUGGGUUCAAAUCCCGCACCCCGUACUA
This 76-nucleotide transfer RNA is filed under the name bacterium. Its description in RNAcentral is "tRNA-Pro". It matches the Rfam family "tRNA". Rfam says of the family: Transfer RNA (tRNA) molecules are approximately 80 nucleotides in length. Their secondary structure includes four short double-helical elements and three loops (D, anti-codon, and T loops). The record is from RNAcentral.